This 253-nucleotide ribosomal RNA is filed under the name uncultured bacterium. RNAcentral describes it as "partial 16S ribosomal RNA". It matches the Rfam family "Bacterial small subunit ribosomal RNA", at positions 524 to 776 of the family's 1533-position model. The record is from RNAcentral.
UACGGAGGGUGCAAGCGUUAUCCGGAUUUACUGGGUUUAAAGGGUGCGUAGGCGGGCAGGUAAGUCCGUGGUGAAAUCUCUGAGCUUAACUCAGAAACUGCCAUGGAUACUAUUUGUCUUGAAUAUUGUGGAGGCAAGCGGAAUAUGUCAUGUAGCGGUGAAAUGCUUAGAUAUGACAUAGAACACCCAUUGCGAAGGCAGCUUGCUGGGACGUUACUGACACUGAGGCGCGAAAGCGUGGGGAGCGAACAGG